AGUCGAGGGGUAUAGGUUUUCGGAUCUAGAGACCGGCGCACGGGUGCGUAACGCGUAUGCAAUCUACCUUUUACAGGGGAAUAGCCCAGAGAAAUUUGGAUUAAUGCCCCAUAGUAUAUAUGAAUCGCAUGGUUUAUAUAUUAAAGUUCCAACGGUAAAAGAUGAGCAUGCGUCCCAUUAGUUAGUUGGUAAGGUAACGGCUUACCAAGACUAUGAUGGGUAGGGGUCCUGAGAGGGAGAUCCCCCACACUGGUACUGAGACACGGACCAGACUCCUACGGGAGGCAGCAGUGAGGAAUAUUGGACAAUGGGCGCAAGCCUGAUCCAGCCAUGCCGCGUGCAGGAAGAAGCAUCUAUGGUGUGUAAACUGCUUUUGUACAGGAAGAAACACUCCCUCGUGAGGGAGCUUGACGGUACUGUAAGAAUAAGGAUCGGCUAACUCCGUGCCAGCAGCCGCGGUAAUACGGAGGAUCCAAGCGUUAUCCGGAAUCAUUGGGUUUAAAGGGUCCGUAGGCGGUUUAAUAAGUCAGUGGUGAAAUCUGGUCGCUCAACGAUCAAACGGCCAUUGAUACUGUUAGACUUGAAUUACUAGGAAGUAACUAGAAUAUGUAGUGUAGCGGUGAAAUGCUUAGAUAUUACAUGGAAUACCAAUUGCGAAGGCAGGUUACUACUAGUGGAUUGACGCUGAUGGACGAAAGCGUGGGGAGCGAACAGGAUUAGAUACCCUGGUAGUCCACGCCGUAAACGAUGGAUACUAGCUGUUGGGCGCAAGUUCCAGUGGCUAAGCGAAAGUGAUAAGUAUCCCACCUGGGGAGUACGUUCGCAAGAAUGAAACUCAAAGGAAUUGACGGGGGCCCGCACAAGCGGUGGAGCAUGUGGUUUAAUUCGAUGAUACGCGAGGAACCUUACCA
This 911-nucleotide ribosomal RNA is filed under the name uncultured bacterium. Its description in RNAcentral is "bacterial SSU rRNA". It matches the Rfam family "Bacterial small subunit ribosomal RNA", at positions 60 to 976 of the family's 1533-position model. The record is from RNAcentral.